Molecule: long non-coding RNA, 4704 nt
Organism: Medicago truncatula (barrel medic)
Lineage: Eukaryota; Viridiplantae; Streptophyta; Magnoliopsida; Fabales; Fabaceae
Exons: 6
Source: RefSeq, a predicted model, not a curated record
UUUUUUUUACAACUCCGUAAGGGCUAAAAUCUAUAUAAUGUAUGUAUGAAGAUGGUAUUAUAAAUUUUAAAUUGAUAAACAUACAAUAUUUAUUACUUGUAAAGGGGAGAAAAUAUGGUUGAAGUUACCAAAUUAGUUAAUAUUAUGCUUAUAUUUCUUACCUUAUUUGUUGUAGCAUUGAGCAUUGACAAGGAGUAUACUGUCUGCUCACUACAUUCUGAUUGUAAAGCAUAUGUGUGUCAAUUACCUCUUAAACCAGAGUGUAUUCUGCUGGAAUAUGUUCCCCAUUUCUAUCGUCUCACUUGUAGUUGUGUUUGAGCAAUGUGACUACGUUAUAGUUAUGGAUUUUGUACUCUAAGAUGAUGAAGGAGAGUUCGCCUUCUUCUUACUUUUGUGUUGUUCUUCAUUCCAUGGUGAUCUUUUUAUCCUCCAAUUCAUAUGCUUCAUCAUUUUUGUUAUGACUUACGGUAAUAGCUCGGUGCCACCGCCGCCGGUGUUAGAUCUAGCGUUGAACACUGCAAGUCCGUACUAUGUUCAUCCUAACAAAAAUCCAGCAAUUUCUCUUGUUACGAAACUCUUCACUCCCAGCAAUUACCAUUCAUGGUCAUGAUUGAUGCACAUGGCUUUGAUCGGAAAGAACAAAUUCAAGUUCGUCGACGGUUCGAUCUUGGCUCCUGAUCCUUUUCAUCCUAGUUAUGAUGCUUGGGAGAGGUGUAACAAUCUUGUCCAUUCAUGGAUUAUCAAUUAUGUCUCUCCUUCAAUUGCUCAGAGUAUUAUCUACAAAUAUCUUGCUUGUUUCAGAAAUGUGAUUUUUGAGAGGGAUUGCGAGAGUUUGAUUAUGCAGAUUCGUAGUGACAUUGAGGAACCUAGAACCUAUGUUGGGAAUAUAGUGAAAGGGAUAAGAUAUCAGUGGGGGUUUAGCAUGGGAAAGCAGAGUUGUUUCCCAUCAUACGAAAGUAAAUGUUAGUUAUUAGAUUAAGUAAGGAACAUAUUCUUAUUAUACACUCUCAUCACUAGGUUUUUUUGGUACUAUCAUCUAUCAUCAUGUCUCCUUCAUACCAACCCACCCACCUCCGGCAUCAAAACCAUCAUCACAUCUGUAAUUUUUCUUCUUUCUAAGCAAACCCACAUGUAUUUUUUUCAUCUCAAGUCUGUUUCAUUUAAAAUCUUUUUCAUAAAGAAGUUGUCUUUUUCAAUUGAAACUCAUUCAUUGAAACCCAUAUCAUGAUUUGUCCUAAAAAAAAUCUAGGUUAUUAAGAUAUUAAAUUGACAAAGGAAUCUUCAUGUGUUCUUCAAAUGAAUCUUCAUCAUCUUCAUGUUCCAAAAAACAACUUAAUAUAACACUUGUUUAAUUAAAAAUUAAUUACUCAUCUUCAAUGUGUUCUUCAAAUGAUUCUUCAUCAUCUUCACCAAUUUUUCUUACUAAAAGUUCAGAUCUAAAAAACUACAACAACAAGAAGCUGUACAGAUCUAGAAAAUCACUACAACAAUAGAACCAACAAUAAAAGGAAGCUGUAAAAAUAUCAAUUAAAAUAAUUUUGAAAAAAAAAACCAUAAUGUUCAUGCUACUAUUUUGAUUACAAUUAAGAUAUGGAACAUGUGGUUUUGAUGAUGAGAAAAUUUGAGGUGUGAAUAAUGUCAAUGUGAUUGAAGUUGGAAUUAAGAUACAAAAUUAUGGAUGCCAUGUGAUUGAGAUACAAAAUUAAGAUACAUCAUUAUGUUCAAACCGAUCAAACCUCGCCUCUUUAGCCCAGACACGACACUCCCCCACCCAAACACUAUUCAAAGUUUGUAACAAUUUAAUAUUAUUUUUGACAUUAAAAAACCUGGCAAACCCAAAUUCCCGACCACGAGCAUUCCUAUGUCGUGCCACAUAUAAAUAAGAUAACAUCCCACAAACUUCAAAGGCUUGACGUAAUCGAAACAGUGGCAAAUUCUCCGGAGAAUUAGUAACAUAAAAGUAGGCUUUAUACCCGUGUUUAAUUGUCAGACAAAGCCAUAUCUGUUAAGUGCCAUUCUGCAGAAGCCACGCGACCUCCCACAAAGUUGGAGUUGCUUCCGUCAUUCCCAACCCUAACCUCCUUCCGCUGCAGAUCGAAGAAACCUUCCUUGAAACCUCUAUCAGAACCCUGAAAUCGAUGAUGUAUAUUACCUGUCGUCGCUUUCCGCUUCCGAGACCACACCACAAUCCAAUCUCCCCCAUCCCCCCAAUAUCUGCCACCCUGGCUGGACCCCUAUCCCCCGACGAUGUCUCUUUGCCGGAGAAAAGCUCCGACAUGGUUGCCCAUGGCUAGCUCUAGGGUUCCCGCCUCUCCUACUCUCAAAAUCUCUCAUCGCUCUUUUUUUCUUCUAGAUGAUUAACAAACAAAUAAAUAAAAACAUAAAACAACAAAUCUUCUUCAUCUUUAACGAAAAAAAAAACCUUCAUCAUUUUUUGUUUGUUUAUAGGCAUCCUGUUCCAAACAAUCCUCAUGUGUUCUUGUUCCAACUAUUGAUAAAAGUGCUUCAUAUUUUUCUUUCAACUCAAUUCAUUUCAAGCCCUCUCUUUCUUAUUCUUUUUCAAUCAAUGUAAAACCUCAAAUUAUGAAAGGUUAAUUUAAAAAAUUAGAUCUGAAUUUUUUUAGUAACAAAUCAAAUCUAAAAUUGAAAGUGAGCUUUAUAGAAACUAAUUAGAUACAAAAUCUAUGAAGGGAUGAGGAAACACAAAGAAAUAGAACUGUUUUUUUUUUCUUCUCUCAAUGGAUGGAAGAAACCCAAAUCUUAAACUGUUUGUUUCCUCCCUUUUGAUUUCUUUUUUUCUUGGCAUGACUCGCUCAUGAGUCAACUGAGUCAACUCAUUUCACAAAAAAAACUCAAUCUAAACUCUCCCUUUCUGAAUUCUUGUCUUCAAACUUAGAAAAUAACAAGCAGAAACCCAUAAAUCUUCAACCAAAUUCACAUAACACUUCAACUGAAAACAACAUAUUCAUAAAUUUAACACAAUUUCAGAUUAGAGAAUAUAAGGGGUUAGGGUUUUUCAAAUCAAAAUAACAACAAACAUGAGGCAAAAUUAGAGGCUACAUUCGGAAUUUGGAAGGGAAGAAAAUUAGGGUUUAGAAUAAAAAAAAUUGGCCUUUUGAUUUAUAUUACAAGUUGUUGGAACACAUGAUUUUGAGUAAGGAGAGGAACGAUGAUGGUGAGAACAUAUUGGGUAUGUGUUUAGAGGGAAGAGAAGGAUAUUGAUAAUGAAGAGAGACAAAUGAAGAAUGUUUGAGUUUGAUAGAGAAUUUAAAAAGGAGGUGUAUGAAGAAGGAGAUGGGUUUGAGAACUGGAUGAGAUUGAAGAAGGAGAUGAGUUUGAAGAUAAUGAAGAGCACAUUUUUUUAAGUUGUUUUUAAAUAUCUUUUUAUAAAUAGGAGGCCAAAAUCUCAGCUUUUUAAAAUUUAGGGAUUGAAAAAUGGAGUUUAACCUUUUAAAUAAUGGUAAUAAUUCUAAAUUCUAAAUGGAUUAAAAAAUAUUAAAAUUACAAAGUCAAUGUGCCACAUAGGCAAAUUCUACUGACAUAGGCUAAAUGAGGGACCAAAACCAAAGAAUUUGAUAUUACAAGGAUGUAAUCAAUUUCUUUUAAUAACAUCCAAAAUCAGAAUUGCUCAAUAUUACAAGGAUUAAAAACAGUAGUAACCCUUGUUUUUUAUUCAAAGAUGAUGAUGAAUAAAUGGAAAAAAAUUAGGUGUUGAUAGUUCACGAACAAACGAAAUAUUUUAACGCGAGAGACUAUUUUGACUAAUACAGUUCACAAUCAAGGACUAUUUUAGAAUUUUAAUACAUUCAAUGACCAUUUUUACUAUUCUUUAUACAUUCAAGGACCAAAAAGAUUAUUAGGCCUUAACUUUUUAAUGCAAUAGAGGAAUAAUUAAUGAAUUUGAAAUGUAACAAAAGUAGCUAUAGAUUUGCUAUAGGCUAAGUCUCACAUUAAAUCAAAACAAUAUUUCUCCUCUUUUUUAUUAUUAUCCUUUUCGAUCAUGAAAUGUUAUAAAAUUGGUAAAAUAAGAAUAACUUAUUAUGAUUGGUAAGUUUUUUUUUAUGUGACCUCUUUACUAAAUGCUCUGAAGAGACAAACACAACACAUGUACUUAAGAGUCACUUAAUUGUUAUUUUAAUCAUAAUAUAUUUUUCCAAGUCCGAGCUCAAAUCUAUAUAAUGUAUGUAUGAAGAAUGUAUUAUAAAUUUUAAAUUGAUAAAAACAUACAAUAUUUAUUACUUGUAAAGGGGAGAAAAUAUGGUUGAAGUUACCAAGUUAGUUAAUGUUAUGCUUAUCUUUCUUACCCUAUUUGUUGUUGCAUUGAGUAAUGACACGGAGUAUACCGACUGCUUGCAACAUUCUGAUUGUCAAGCAUAUGCGUGUGAAUUACCUUUUAAACCAGAUUGUCUUAUGGUGGAAUAUGCUCCCCAGUUCUUUCGUCUUGCUUGUGGCUGUGUUUGAGCAAUGUGACAACGUUAUAGUUAUGGAUUUUGUACUCUAAGAUGAUGGUAAUCAAAUGAAAUAAGAAAUAAAAUAAUAUUAUUUAGAUCCUUGUCUAGAUAUUAUUUCCCUAUUUGCAAUUGGUAAAACUUUAGAAGUAUGGGAUGGAGACUAAACAAUUUGUGGAAAUUUUAUAAAGAGAUAUUUAUAUUAUUGAAUUUGCAUAAUAUUAGUGUAGUUUAAUAUUUAACGGUGUUUUGCAUA